CUGUAGCUCCCCUGCUCAGAAGAUUCAGAUGGGCUCCAUUUCUCUCCUUCUCAGUCUCCUUAUUUUACUUCAUGGGAAAAGGGUUCUGAAAACACUGUCUGGCCCACCCUCAGGUGUUCUGGGAAACAAUUUGAUUGAGAGAGUCCCAAAAAGUUUCCGUUUGUUAAUGUGUUAACAUUUGUUUUGAAAAUUCUGCUGAUUUUGGUCAUACUUUUUGGUCUCCAACAGCACUUGAGUUUAUUUAUGAUUAGUUUCAGUCAGCAUAGUCAGCCAAAUUUCUUUCUAUUACACAUCAGCAUGUCUUAUUAUUUAAUCAUGUGUGCUGUGUGUUGUUUACAACGAUUGCUUUUCACUUAGUUCCUUACAUUCUCACGCGUGAAAUCGAAUUGAAUCGCAAGGACCAUUUUGCUUGCCCGUAUGAUGUGCUUUUCCCCCACAGAUUUGCAUGGACUAAAGUGACAUUGAAACAGCUGUUGCCAAUUCCCUAUCACCUCUUCCCUCCCCAAAUUAAUUGCUAAACUCGCCCCAGAACUAGAGUUAGAAGGAACUGGAAGUUGUCCUUAGCACGGCCUUCGGACAGGGGACCUCUCGACCAAAGGACAUCCACCUUGUUGCUGCUGCUCCUCUCCGCUGUUCACCUACUGUGGGAAAAAGACACAAAUCACAACGCUAUCAACAGAAUUGCUAAAGACACGGGGGACACGCCCGAUGCAGCUGCAUGAUGCUACAACCCAGCAGGCCCGGCAUAGCGUGAGAGACAGCCCAGCAAGCAGCCAUCACAGCUGAACCCUGCUCCGGUAGAGCUAAAGGAAAGAACACUGCUCGGAAAGAGCCGAACGAAAAAUCAAACAUUGACCUCCAUGAGUGAAUCAACUGCUGUGUUAGUUUGCCCCGGUGCUCAUAGUUAGCCUUUAGCCUAAAUCCUAGCCCUUUUAUUUUUCCAAUAGGGCCGUAGUGAUAGUGUAUUGUCAAAACUGAAUUUAUAAUAAAGAACCUUUGAUUGUA
Molecule: long non-coding RNA, 1005 nt
Organism: Oncorhynchus kisutch (coho salmon)
Lineage: Eukaryota; Metazoa; Chordata; Actinopteri; Salmoniformes; Salmonidae
Exons: 2
Source: RefSeq, a predicted model, not a curated record